UGAGGAAUAUUGGGCAAUGGACGCAAGUCUGACCCAGCCAUGCCGCGUGAAGGAUGAAGGCGUUCUGCGUUGUAAACUUCUUUUAUCUGGGAAGAAACCAUCUUUUUCUAAGGGUGUUGACGGUACCAGAGGAAUAAGCACCGGCUAACUCCGUGCCAGCAGCCGCGGUAAUACGGAGGGUGCAAGCGUUAUCCGGAUUCACUGGGUUUAAAGGGUGCGUAGGCGGGUAGGUAAGUCAGUGGUGAAAUCCUUGAGCUCAACUCGAGAACUGCCAUUGAUACUAUUUAUCUUGAAUAUUGUGGAGGUAAGCGGAAUAUGUCAUGUAGCGGUGAAAUGCUUAGAUAUGACACAGAACACCAAUUGCGAAGGCAGCUUACUGGGAUACAACUGACGCUGAGGCACGAAAGCGUGGGGAUCAAACAGG
Molecule: ribosomal RNA, 424 nt
Filed under: uncultured bacterium
Lineage: Bacteria
Description: bacterial SSU rRNA
Rfam family: Bacterial small subunit ribosomal RNA
Source: RNAcentral